RNAcentral lists this transfer RNA (96 nucleotides) under Aureobasidium namibiae CBS 147.97. It matches the Rfam family "tRNA". Rfam says of the family: Transfer RNA (tRNA) molecules are approximately 80 nucleotides in length. Their secondary structure includes four short double-helical elements and three loops (D, anti-codon, and T loops). The record is from Rfam by way of RNAcentral. Lineage: Eukaryota; Fungi; Ascomycota; Dothideomycetes; Dothideales; Saccotheciaceae.
GGUCGGUUAGCUCAGUUGGUUAGAGCGUGGUGCUAAUAUCUUCUUCAUGAUAUACCUGGGACGCCAAGGCCGCGGGUUCGACCCCCGUACUGACCA